RNAcentral lists this ribosomal RNA (253 nucleotides) under uncultured bacterium. Its description in RNAcentral is "partial 16S ribosomal RNA". It matches the Rfam family "Bacterial small subunit ribosomal RNA", at positions 524 to 776 of the family's 1533-position model. The record is from RNAcentral.
UACAGAGGGUGCUAGCGUUGUUCGGAAUCAUUGGGCGUAAAGGGCGCGUAGGCGGCCUGGCAAGUGGAAGGUGAAAUCCCUCGGCUUAACCGAGGAACUGCCUUCCAAACUGCUUGGCUUGAGUCCGGGAGAGGUGAGUGGAAUUCCCAGUGUAGCGGUGAAAUGCGUAGAUAUUGGGAGGAACACCAGUGGCGAAGGCGGCUCACUGGACCGGAACUGACGCUGAUGCGCGAAAGCGUGGGGAGCAAACAGG